UACGGGGGGAGCAAGCGUUGUUCGGAUUUACUGGGCGUAAAGGGCGCGUAGGCGGCCAGCACAAGUCAGUUGUGAAAUCUCCGGGCUUAACUCGGAAAGGUCGACUGAUACUGUGCGGCUAGAGUGCAGAAGGGGCAACUGGAAUUCUCGGUGUAGUGGUGAAAUGCGUAGAGAUCGGCAGGAACACCCAGGGGGAAACCAGCCGACUGGGCAAGUGCUGACGCUGAGGUGCGAGAGCGUGGGGAGCGAACCGG
Molecule: ribosomal RNA, 254 nt
Filed under: uncultured bacterium
Lineage: Bacteria
Description: partial 16S ribosomal RNA
Rfam family: Bacterial small subunit ribosomal RNA
Source: RNAcentral